CUACCCCUGCUCUUUGACAAAUGUAGAUAUUGCAACUCUUUUUCUUUUUCUUUUUAAAUCAAUUUAUUCAACAGUCUCUCUUCUCUUGUUGUUUUGUAACUAUCAACACAUAUACAAUCCAGAAACAACUCAGAGUACCUUAUUUAUUUUCCUUUUACUAAUAGACUGCCGUUCCUAAACAGAUGGCUGAAGAGAAAACCCAGGCUCCAGGCUUUAGUGCUGAGUUUUACUGUAUGGACCCUGGGAUGUUUCUGAGCUGGUUUAUUUGAGAAACGAGGGAAGUCCCAGGGGUGGUUGUGCUGUGAGCAGUUCUGCUGGCUGUCCUCCUUCCCCUGCAGCCACAGCCAGGCAGCCAAAGCAUCAGCCUAUCAGAGAGCUUCAAUUUUCUGCUUAUUUAUCUCCAUGGUGUCCUGAGGACUUCUUAAAAGAAUGAGAUCUGACUAACUUGUCCAAAGUCACACAAGAAACUGGUGGCAGCGCAGAGGAUUGAUGAUUUGUCAGCAUGACAGGCCAAAAACCCACUUGGGCAAGAUUCAAACAAACAUCCAGGCCAGCAGCUUCAAGUGCUCUCAUUCACAAGCGAUCAGUCAGAAAUCUCUCUGCUGGGUUUGGUGGCACUGACAUCAAAG
This 629-nucleotide long non-coding RNA is filed under the name Zonotrichia albicollis (white-throated sparrow). RNAcentral's name for it is "lncRNA (ENSZALG00000016904.1)". Lineage: Eukaryota; Metazoa; Chordata; Aves; Passeriformes; Passerellidae. The record is from RNAcentral.